This 433-nucleotide ribosomal RNA is filed under the name uncultured bacterium. Its description in RNAcentral is "partial 16S ribosomal RNA". It matches the Rfam family "Bacterial small subunit ribosomal RNA", at positions 29 to 507 of the family's 1533-position model. The record is from RNAcentral.
AACGAACGCUGGCGGCAUGCCUAACACAUGCAAGUCGAACGAGACCUUCGGGUCUAGUGGCGCACGGGUGCGUAACGCGUGGGAACCUGCCCUUAGGUUCGGAAUAACUCCCCGAAAGGGGUGCUAAUACCGGAUAAUGUCUUCCGACCAAAGAUUUAUCGCCUUUGGAUGGGCCUGCGUUGGAUUAGCUAGUUGGUAGGGUAAAAGCCUACCAAGGCGACGAUCCAUAGCUGGUCUGAGAGGAUGAUCAACCACACUGGGACUGAGACACGGCCCAGACUCCUACGGGAGGCAGCAGUGGGGAAUAUUGGACAAUGGGCGAAAGCCUGAUCCAGCAAUGCCGCGUGAGUGAUGAAGGCCUUAGGGUUGUAAAGCUCUUUUACCCGGGAUGAUAAUGACAGUACCGGGAGAAUAAGCUCCGGCUAACUCCGUG